Molecule: ribosomal RNA, 390 nt
Filed under: uncultured Levilinea sp.
Lineage: Bacteria; Bacillati; Chloroflexota; Anaerolineae; Anaerolineales; Anaerolineaceae
Description: bacterial SSU rRNA
Rfam family: Bacterial small subunit ribosomal RNA
Source: RNAcentral
ACAUACAAGUAGUAGGGAAAGGGAAACUAGGACCGACCCUUCGGGAGGCUUGAACAGGUGGCUGCAUGGCUGUCGUCAGCUCGUGUCGUGAGAUGUUCGGUUAAGUCCGCUAACGAGCGCAACCCUCGCUGUGUGUUACAAGUGUCACACGGAACUGCCGGUCAUAAACCGGAGGAAGGUGGGGAUGACGUCAAGUCAGCAUGGCCUUUAUAUCCUGGGCUACACACACGCUACAAUGGGAAGGGACAAUAGGUUGCGAAGCCGCGAGGCGGAGCCAAUCCAGCAAAACUUCCCUCAGUUCAGAUUGCAGGCUGCAACUCGCCUGCAUGAAGUUGGAGUUGCUAGUAAACGCAGGUCAGCCAUACUGCGUUGAAUACGUUCCCGGGGCUU